This is a non-coding RNA of Pelobates cultripes (western spadefoot toad), 432 nucleotides long. Lineage: Eukaryota; Metazoa; Chordata; Amphibia; Anura; Pelobatidae. The record is from the annotation of a GenBank genome assembly.
AUAAUCACACACGAUGCAACCCUUGCACACAGAAAAACACACAAUGCAUUACACACACAGAAACACAUACACAAGCAAUGCAACCCUUACACAUAAUGCAUCCCUUACACACACAGAAACACACAAUGCGUUCAUUACACACACUCAGUGCACCCCUUACACACACUCAAUGCAUCCCUUACAGACACACACACUGCAUCCCGUACAUACACAGAAACACACCUUGCAGCCCUUACACAUACAAACACAGAUUCACACAAUGCAUUCCUUACACACAUAUCAGGACAUCCCCUACACACUCCACCCCCUGUGAACAAACUCAUUGGUGGAACAUGAAGGUGGACCCUGGGACCCAGACCUUGAGCUGUGUAAAGGGCCCCCCAAAAAAUGGAGCUGCUUCCCGUUCUCCCAGAACAUUGAUUUUGUGACCAC